UACACACUCAGAAUCCUAACUCAGGCUACCU
RNAcentral lists this non-coding RNA (31 nucleotides) under Mus musculus (house mouse). The record is from RNAcentral. Lineage: Eukaryota; Metazoa; Chordata; Mammalia; Rodentia; Muridae.